UACGUAGGGUGCAAGCGUUAGUCGGAAUUACUGGGCGUAAAGCGUGCGCAGGCGGUUUUGUAAGACUGUCGUGAAAUCCCCGGGCUUAACCUGGGAAUUGCGAUGGUGACUGCAAGGCUAGAGUUUGGCAGAGGGGGGUAGAAUUCCACGUGUAGCAGUGAAAUGCGUAGAGAUGUGGAGGAACACCGAUGGCGAAGGCAGCCCCCUGGGUCAAAACUGACGCUCAUGCACGAAAGCGUGGGGAGCAAACAGG
Molecule: ribosomal RNA, 253 nt
Filed under: uncultured bacterium
Lineage: Bacteria
Description: partial 16S ribosomal RNA
Rfam family: Bacterial small subunit ribosomal RNA
Source: RNAcentral